RNAcentral lists this long non-coding RNA (234 nucleotides) under Elaeis guineensis (African oil palm). RNAcentral describes it as "long non-coding RNA (EGUI_LNC047116)". Lineage: Eukaryota; Viridiplantae; Streptophyta; Magnoliopsida; Arecales; Arecaceae. The record is from RNAcentral.
GGCUAGGAUAGAGUGAAUAAUGAAAAAGUAUUUCCAUAGGUUUUACAUAAAAACUCAUGUUAAAUAAUCUUAUAUAUGACAGACGAUGGGGUUUGAUGAGUUUUUCAUAACUUUUAUUUCAUUGAAACUUACGAUAAAAGAACUGAAUUACAUAGUAACUACUCUUAGAGAUGUUAGAAAUCACCCUGGUUUUAUACGUGUAGUUUAAAAUUUUUUAAAAUUUUAUGUAGUAGA